UUGCUCUCCCAGGCCGCCCACAUCCGGCUUUUCCUUCGCCCAGGUCAGCCAUUUUUGCUGAGGGCAGCGGUGGUGUGUGAGACAGGUCUCAGGUAAAAGAUGCAGUGGUUCUGAGGUUGCUCUUGAACUCACUGUGUAGCCCCAGGCUGGCCUCCAGUUUGUGAUUAUCUUCCUGUUUCAAACUCCAGUGCUGGGAUUAUAGAUGUGCACCACCAUGCCGGCAUUUCUCCCUUUUGGCUGUGCUAAGAAGAAAGACCAAGUGUUUUCAUCAGUGGAUACCAAAUUUAGUGAAGAUCCAUGAUGAUUUCUCAAGAACCUGAACCUCUGUGACUUCGCUACCAGACAAGUGGUCUUUGUCUCAUCCAAUAUCCAAGCUCUCAGUAUCUUGAACAAAGAAUUGAGCAAGACAUACAGUAGUGAGAAAGGUUGGGAUUUAUUAAAGGAAAGCACACUCCAAAGAGUGGGAACAGGCUGAUGAACCCACACAGUGGCCAUAAUGUUCAAUUCCGCAAAGCCUCAACAAAACCUGCUCUGAGCUACAGUGAACAUCAGGCAAGCUGCCAUGAGCCCUUUCUUCAGGGAGCUCAUAAUGCUGAUGGGGCUAUCAUGUACCCAGUGCCACGAGAGAAGGCAGUACCUUCAGCCCAGAAAAAGACCAUGAGAACAUUUCCUGUUGGGUUACCCAGAAUGAUGAGACAGAACUGCUGACUGAAGGCACAGCAUGACGGAAGAAGUGCAACCAGCGUUUGGGUGGCACAGGGAUGCAGGUGGGGGGGGUGAUGAACCUGGGAAGGAACACUGGGCCAAUCUCAACAGGCUGUGAAGGCCUGGAGUGUGAGUUUGGGCUGGAAGACAGAGAGUUUUCCAUGUUGGUCAAGGCCCUUUGGGUUGCAAGGGAGGGAACCGACUUUGCACUAACCCCAACAGAAAGGGCAAUUUAUGGGUGAACAGAGAAUCCAAGGAAGGCCUGAAUGACCUAGCAGGUAAGGAAGCCCAGGACACUCUUGGCUUUUAGGAACAGCUAAUCAGGGCUUCAGACCCCAUCUCAAUCCUAUUUUUCUUGGUUGGCUCCAUUUUUCUUUUUUGGGGCAGACUAACUUUCUCUACAUGGAGGAAUUUUGGGGAAGGGACUUAUUGGCCCAAGCUUAGGGCAGCUUCCCACCCCUUGAUCCAUCAGAAGUUGGAGUUGCAUGUUCACAGAACUGUCCUGUUGUCAGCAGAAGGCAGGGAGGGCAGGACCAGAAAGAAGGUACAACGCUGAGCAGGCAACCCUAGAACAAUCUC
Molecule: long non-coding RNA, 1284 nt
Organism: Chinchilla lanigera (long-tailed chinchilla)
Lineage: Eukaryota; Metazoa; Chordata; Mammalia; Rodentia; Chinchillidae
Exons: 4
Source: RefSeq, a predicted model, not a curated record